CGGACGGGUGAGUAACGCGUGAGAAUCUGGCUUCGGGUUCGGGACAACCACUGGAAACGGUGGCUAAUACCGGAUGUGCCCUAUGGGGUGAAAGGUUAACUGCCGGAAGAUGAGCUCGCGUCCGAUUAGCUAGUAGGUGUGGUAAGAGCGCACCUAGGCGACGAUCGGUAGCUGGUCUGAGAGGACGAUCAGCCACACUGGGACUGAGACACGGCCCAGACUCCUACGGGAGGCAGCAGUGGGGAAUUUUCCGCAAUGGGCGAAAGCCUGACGGAGCAAUACCGCGUGAGGGAGGAAGGCUCUUGGGUUGUAAACCUCUUUUCUCAGGGAAGAAUAAGUGACGGUACCUGAGGAAUCAGCAUCGGCUAACUCCGUGCCAGCAGCCGCGGUAAUACGGAGGAUGCAAGCGUUAUCCGGAAUGAUUGGGCGUAAAGCGUCCGUAGGUGGUGGCUCAAGUCUAUUGUCAAAGCGUCUGGCUCAACCAGAUAAAGGCAGUGGAAACUGAGUAACUAGAGUGCAUUCGGGGCAGGGGGAAUUCCUGGUGGAGCGGUGAAACCCGUAG
This 562-nucleotide ribosomal RNA is filed under the name Nostoc sp. LCRSM-149. RNAcentral's name for it is "bacterial SSU rRNA". It matches the Rfam family "Bacterial small subunit ribosomal RNA", at positions 99 to 693 of the family's 1533-position model. The record is from RNAcentral. Lineage: Bacteria; Bacillati; Cyanobacteriota; Cyanophyceae; Nostocales; Nostocaceae.